Small nucleolar RNA from Trichomycterus rosablanca, 73 nucleotides. The record is from RefSeq and is a predicted model, not a curated record. NCBI's taxonomy places the organism in Eukaryota, Metazoa, Chordata, Actinopteri, Siluriformes, Trichomycteridae.
UGUGUAAAUGAUGAGUUGAUUGUACCGCCCCAGUCUGAUGUUUAAUGACUGAUUGGUAUUUCUCUGAUGCACU